UGGGAAGAUGCUGUGCCUCGAGGAUUAGUUUAAACAGGGGGCUAUAAAAGAUGUAACAGAUGCAAACUGUAACACAAGGGCCAUUAACCCUUUCUCUGCCGGGCACACUCAGUCCCCACGCCCCGCACCUAUUGUCUCCUGUGCUAGAAGCUUUGCAGAAAACCUGGAAAGGGAAAUCCUGAAAUAAAGAAAUGGUCACACAAGUGUCUGGGAUGAAACAGCUGGCCUGUCUAUAUUCAUCCUGAGACACACGACUGCAUAUAAAUACAUGUUUAAUAAAUUUUGGCCAGAAAUGGUGAGAAGAAAAAGCAUGAAGAAGCCGCGAAGUGUGGGGGAGAAAAAGGUGGAAGCGAAGAAACAGCUCCCGGAGCAAACUGUACAAAAACCUCGCCAAGAGUGUCGGGAGGCAGGACCGUUAUUCCUGCAGAGCAGGAGAGAGACGAGAGACCCUGAAACACGCGCCACCUAUCUUUGUGGGGAGGGAUAAUUGAAGCGCCCUGAGCGUACCAGAGCCAGAAAAAAAAAAAUGCUACAUGGGAGCUGCAUCUUAGGGCAUGUGUAUUAGGGUGUGUGC
This 574-nucleotide antisense RNA is filed under the name Pongo abelii (Sumatran orangutan). The stretch from base 42 to 169 matches the Rfam family "ZEB2 antisense RNA 1 conserved region 1". Lineage: Eukaryota; Metazoa; Chordata; Mammalia; Primates; Hominidae. The record is from RNAcentral.